This 908-nucleotide ribosomal RNA is filed under the name Plantibacter sp. AN26. Its description in RNAcentral is "bacterial SSU rRNA". It matches the Rfam family "Bacterial small subunit ribosomal RNA", at positions 49 to 969 of the family's 1533-position model. Lineage: Bacteria; Bacillati; Actinomycetota; Actinomycetes; Micrococcales; Microbacteriaceae. The record is from RNAcentral.
UAACACAUGCAGUCGAACGAUGAAGCCCAGCUUGCUGGGUGGAUUAGUGGCGAACGGGUGAGUAACACGUGAGUAACCUGCCCUUGACUCUGGGAUAAGCGUUGGAAACGACGUCUAAUACCGGAUACGAGCUUCCACCGCAUGGUGAGUUGCUGGAAAGAAUUUUGGUCAAGGAUGGACUCGCGGCCUAUCAGCUUGUUGGUGAGGUAAUGGCUCACCAAGGCGACGACGGGUAGCCGGCCUGAGAGGGUGACCGGCCACACUGGGACUGAGACACGGCCCAGACUCMUACGGGAGGCAGCAGUGGGGAAUAUUGCACAAUGGGCGAAAGCCUGAUGCAGCAACGCCGCGUGAGGGACGACGGCCUUCGGGUUGUAAACCUCUUUUAGCAGGGAAGAAGCGAAAGUGACGGUACCUGCAGAAAAAGCACCGGCUAACUACGUGCCAGCAGCCGCGGUAAUACGUAGGGUGCAAGCGUUGUCCGGAAUUAUUGGGCGUAAAGAGCUCGUAGGCGGUUUGUCGCGUCUGCUGUGAAAUCCCGAGGCUCAACCUCGGGUCUGCAGUGGGUACGGGCAGACUAGAGUGCGGUAGGGGAGAUUGGAAUUCCUGGUGUAGCGGUGGAAUGCGCAGAUAUCAGGAGGAACACCGAUGGCGAAGGCAGAUCUCUGGGCCGCUACUGACGCUGAGGAGCGAAAGGGUGGGGAGCAAACAGGCUUAGAUACCCUGGUAGUCCACCCCGUAAACGUUGGGCGCUAGAUGUGGGGACCAUUCCACGGUUUCCGUGUCGUAGCUAACGCAUUAAGCGCCCCGCCUGGGGAGUACGGCCGCAAGGCUAAAACUCAAAGGAAUUGACGGGGGCCCGCACAAGCGGCGGAGCAUGCGGAUUAAUUCGAUGCAACGCGAAGAAC